This 254-nucleotide ribosomal RNA is filed under the name uncultured bacterium. RNAcentral describes it as "partial 16S ribosomal RNA". It matches the Rfam family "Bacterial small subunit ribosomal RNA", at positions 524 to 776 of the family's 1533-position model. The record is from RNAcentral.
UACGUAGGGAGCAAGCGUUGUCCGGAAUCAUUGGGCGUAAAGCGCGCGUAGGCGGCCCCAUAAGUCCGCUGUGAAAGUCAAAGGCUCAACCUUUGAAAGCCGGUGGAUACUGUGGGGCUAGAGUACGGAAGAGGCGAGUGGAAUUCCUGGUGUAGCGGUGGAAUGCGCAGAUAUCAGGAGGAACACCAAUGGCGAAGGCAGCUCCGCUGGGACGGUACUGACGCUGAGACGCGAAACGUGGGGGAGCAAACAGG